RNAcentral lists this ribosomal RNA (2925 nucleotides) under Salmonella enterica subsp. enterica serovar Enteritidis str. EC20120969. RNAcentral describes it as "bacterial LSU rRNA". It matches the Rfam family "Bacterial large subunit ribosomal RNA". Lineage: Bacteria; Pseudomonadati; Pseudomonadota; Gammaproteobacteria; Enterobacterales; Enterobacteriaceae. The record is from RNAcentral.
GGGUUGUGAGGUUAAGCGACUAAGCGUACACGGUGGAUGCCCUGGCAGUCAGAGGCGAUGAAGGGCGUGCUAAUCUGCGAUAAGCGCCGGUAAGGUGAUAUGAACCGUUAUAACCGGCGAUACCCGAAUGGGGAAACCCAGUGUGACUCGUCACACUAUCAUUAACUGAAUCCAUAGGUUAAUGAGGCGAACCGGGGGAACUGAAACAUCUAAGUACCCCGAGGAAAAGAAAUCAACCGAGAUUCCCCCAGUAGCGGCGAGCGAACGGGGAGGAGCCCAGAGCCUGAAUCAGCAUGUGUGUUAGUGGAAGCGUCUGGAAAGGCGCGCGAUACAGGGUGACAGCCCCGUACACAAAAGCGCAUGUGCUGUGAGCUCGAUGAGUAGGGCGGGACACGUGGUAUCCUGUCUGAAUAUGGGGGGACCAUCCUCCAAGGCUAAAUACUCCUGACUGACCGAUAGUGAACCAGUACCGUGAGGGAAAGGCGAAAAGAACCCCGGCGAGGGGAGUGAAAAAGAACCUGAAACCGUGUACGUACAAGCAGUGGGAGCACCCUUUGGGUGUGACUGCGUACCUUUUGUAUAAUGGGUCAGCGACUUAUAUUCUGUAGCAAGGUUAACCGAAUAGGGGAGCCGGAGGGAAACCGAGUCUUAAUUGGGCGUUAAGUUGCAGGGUAUAGACCCGAAACCCGGUGAUCUAGCCAUGGGCAGGUUGAAGGUUGGGUAACACUAACUGGAGGACCGAACCGACUAAUGUUGAAAAAUUAGCGGAUGACCUGUGGCUGGGGGUGAAAGGCCAAUCAAACCGGGAGAUAGCUGGUUCUCCCCGAAAGCUAUUUAGGUAGCGCCUCGUGAAUUCAUCUCCGGGGGUAGAGCACUGUUUCGGCUAGGGGGCCAUCCCGGCUUACCAACCCGAUGCAAACUGCGAAUACCGGAGAAUGUUAUCACGGGAGACACACGGCGGGUGCUAACGUCCGUCGUGAAGAGGGAAACAACCCAGACCGCCAGCUAAGGUCCCAAAGUCAUGGUUAAGUGGGAAACGAUGUGGGAAGGCCCAGACAGCCAGGAUGUUGGCUUAGAAGCAGCCAUCAUUUAAAGAAAGCGUAAUAGCUCACUGGUCGAGUCGGCCUGCGCGGAAGAUGUAACGGGGCUAAACCAUGCACCGAAGCUGCGGCAGCGACACUGUGUGUUGUUGGGUAGGGGAGCGUUCUGUAAGCCUGCGAAGGUGGCCUGUGAGGGUUGCUGGAGGUAUCAGAAGUGCGAAUGCUGACAUAAGUAACGAUAAAGCGGGUGAAAAGCCCGCUCGCCGGAAGACCAAGGGUUCCUGUCCAACGUUAAUCGGGGCAGGGUGAGUCGACCCCUAAGGCGAGGCCGAAAGGCGUAGUCGAUGGGAAACGGGUUAAUAUUCCCGUACUUGGUGUUACUGCGAAGGGGGGACGGAGAAGGCUAUGUUGGCCGGGCGACGGUUGUCCCGGUUUAAGCGUGUAGGUGUGUGUUCCAGGUAAAUCCGGUUCACUUUAACACUGAGGCGUGACGACGAGGCACUACGGUGCUGAAGCAACAAAUGCCCUGCUUCCAGGAAAAGCCUCUAAGCAUCAGGUAACAUCAAAUCGUACCCCAAACCGACACAGGUGGUCAGGUAGAGAAUACCAAGGCGCUUGAGAGAACUCGGGUGAAGGAACUAGGCAAAAUGGUGCCGUAACUUCGGGAGAAGGCACGCUGACACGUAGGUGAAGUGAUUUACUCAUGGAGCUGAAGUCAGUCGAAGAUACCAGCUGGCUGCAACUGUUUAUUAAAAACACAGCACUGUGCAAACACGAAAGUGGACGUAUACGGUGUGACGCCUGCCCGGUGCCGGAAGGUUAAUUGAUGGGGUCAGCGCAAGCGAAGCUCCUGAUCGAAGCCCCGGUAAACGGCGGCCGUAACUAUAACGGUCCUAAGGUAGCGAAAUUCCUUGUCGGGUAAGUUCCGACCUGCACGAAUGGCGUAAUGAUGGCCAGGCUGUCUCCACCCGAGACUCAGUGAAAUUGAACUCGCUGUGAAGAUGCAGUGUACCCGCGGCAAGACGGAAAGACCCCGUGAACCUUUACUAUAGCUUGACACUGAACAUUGAGCCUUGAUGUGUAGGAUAGGUGGGAGGCUUUGAAGUGUGGACGCCAGUCUGCAUGGAGCCGACCUUGAAAUACCACCCUUUAAUGUUUGAUGUUCUAACGUGGACCCGUUACCCGGGUUGCGGACAGUGUCUGGUGGGUAGUUUGACUGGGGCGGUCUCCUCCUAAAGAGUAACGGAGGAGCACGAAGGUUGGCUAAUCCUGGUCGGACAUCAGGAGGUUAGUGCAAUGGCAUAAGCCAGCUUGACUGCGAGCGUGACGGCGCGAGCAGGUGCGAAAGCAGGUCAUAGUGAUCCGGUGGUUCUGAAUGGAAGGGCCAUCGCUCAACGGAUAAAAGGUACUCCGGGGAUAACAGGCUGAUACCGCCCAAGAGUUCAUAUCGACGGCGGUGUUUGGCACCUCGAUGUCGGCUCAUCACAUCCUGGGGCUGAAGUAGGUCCCAAGGGUAUGGCUGUUCGCCAUUUAAAGUGGUACGCGAGCUGGGUUUAGAACGUCGUGAGACAGUUCGGUCCCUAUCUGCCGUGGGCGCUGGAGAACUGAGGGGGGCUGCUCCUAGUACGAGAGGACCGGAGUGGACGCAUCACUGGUGUUCGGGUUGUCAUGCCAAUGGCACUGCCCGGUAGCUAAAUGCGGAAGAGAUAAGUGCUGAAAGCAUCUAAGCACGAAACUUGCCCCGAGAUGAGUUCUCCCUGAGACUUUAGGUCUCCUGAAGGAACGUUGAAGACGACGACGUUGAUAGGCCGGGUGUGUAAGCGCAGCGAUGCGUUGAGCUAACCGGUACUAAUGAACCGUGAGGCUUAACCUUACAACGCCGAAG